This 796-nucleotide long non-coding RNA is filed under the name Chlamydomonas reinhardtii. RNAcentral's name for it is "long non-coding RNA (CREI_LNC000939)". The record is from RNAcentral. Lineage: Eukaryota; Viridiplantae; Chlorophyta; Chlorophyceae; Chlamydomonadales; Chlamydomonadaceae.
UAGGAUUGCCGGCGUGUUUGCAGGGGUGUCGGGUCCGGUACCGGUGGUGACGAGUGGCAGUGUGGCACGAAGCGUGGAUGGUCAAGAAGUGUUGUUACAGAGCAGUGGAGUUACCAGGUACCACUUUUAACAGUACCGCCUACCACUGUUACUGGGACGCACGCGCUUUCCCACCGGCGUGCCACCACUCGAGUAACGACCCGACGCCACACUCAGCCGCCUACCUAUCACGCGCUCUGACUCCCAGCCUCCCCGGCGACGGCGCCGCAAAUGACAGCGCGAUGGGUGGCCGUGUGGCGGCGUGCGCCAUACCUUGACUGUGAUGAGCCCCGCCCGGGCCCUGCCAACCGCCUCCACAUCUACUCACCACCCCGAGAACACGUUCCACUCAACGGCACAACACAUAUUAUGGUGCCUUCGCCCACCCGCUUAGACAGCGCGGCAGCCCUAGUUGGGCUUGGCGGGAGUUUCAUCGCAUUGUGGGCCUACAUGUUGGAACGCCUGGAAGGCUAGAAUACGAUGAGGUUCACGGCACGCAGGGCAGCCCUUACCCACCAACCACGCGUCCCCACGCUGUGAUAUGACCCACGAGGCCACGAUGACCCGACGCAGCCUCCUGCCUACAUCCAAUAGGCAAAUGGUCACAUGCCUUUCCAAGUUCCAGGGCGUUCAAUCAGGGAGCCGACGGUGUGAGGGCUCCCUCAGGCCCCUUUGACCGCUUGUUACCGGUGCUGGAUAGCUCGCUCGUUGGCUGCGUCUGCAGGUCCCUCGUACCUUACCUUGUAAUGAACACCCC